RNAcentral lists this ribosomal RNA (480 nucleotides) under uncultured bacterium. Its description in RNAcentral is "bacterial SSU rRNA". It matches the Rfam family "Bacterial small subunit ribosomal RNA", at positions 21 to 518 of the family's 1533-position model. The record is from RNAcentral.
GGCUCAGGACGAACGCUGGCGGCGUGCCUAACACAUGCAAGUCGAGCGAGGAGAUCCUUCGGGAUGAUCCUAGCGGCGGACGGGUGAGUAACACGUGGGCAACCUGCCUCAUAGAGAGGAAUAGCCUUCCGAAAGGGAGAUUAAUACCUCAUAACAUUGCAGUUUCGCAUGGAACAGCAAUUAAAGGAGCAAUCCGCUAUGAGAUGGGCCCGCGGCGCAUUAGCUAGUUGGUGAGGUAACGGCUCACCAAGGCGACGAUGCGUAGCCGACCUGAGAGGGUGAUCGGCCACAUUGGGACUGAGACACGGCCCAGACUCCUACGGGAGGCAGCAGUGGGGAAUAUUGCACAAUGGGGGAAACCCUGAUGCAAGCAACGCCGCGUGAGUGAUGACGGCCUUCGGGUUGUAAAGCUCUGUCUUCAGGGACGAUAAUGACGGUACCUGAGGAGGAAGCCACGGCUAACUACGUGCCAGCAGCCGC